AAUUCUCAACUCUCCUAUACUGUUUUUGUAGAGGAGAGCUUGGAUUGUGGGGGCUUGCUGGCCACUCGUUUGAGGUCAGCUCCUCUGAAAUGCAUUAGCGGAACUGUUUGCGAUCUGCCACAAGUGUGAUAGAUUAUCUACACUGGCGAGGGGAUUGCUCUCUGUGUUGUUCUGCUUCUAAUUGUUUCAAUUUGAUGAAACAACUUUUUGAAU
This 213-nucleotide unclassified non-coding RNA is filed under the name uncultured Agaricaceae. Its description in RNAcentral is "sequence contains ITS2". The record is from RNAcentral. Lineage: Eukaryota; Fungi; Basidiomycota; Agaricomycetes; Agaricales; Agaricaceae.